MicroRNA precursor from Oryza sativa Japonica Group (Japanese rice), 191 nucleotides. It matches the Rfam family "MIR812 microRNA precursor family". The record is from Rfam. NCBI's taxonomy places the organism in Eukaryota, Viridiplantae, Streptophyta, Magnoliopsida, Poales, Poaceae.
UUUAAGUACAACCAUGAGUUUUCGCGUCCAACUUUAGUCAUCUGUCUUAUUUGAAAAAAAUUAUAAUUAGUAUUUUUUAUGAGAUGAUAAGACAUGAAUAGUACUUUAUGCUUGACUUAUGUUUUAAUUUUUUUUAAAAAAAAAUUAAAUAAGACGGACGAUAGACGCGAAAACUUAUGGCUGCACUUCAA